GCCCCCAUAGUUUAGUGGCAGAACGCAAGCAUGGUAAGCUUGAAGCGCAAGUUCGAUUCUCGCUGGGGGCACCA
This 74-nucleotide transfer RNA is filed under the name Acholeplasmataceae bacterium. RNAcentral's name for it is "tRNA-Thr". It matches the Rfam family "tRNA". Rfam says of the family: Transfer RNA (tRNA) molecules are approximately 80 nucleotides in length. Their secondary structure includes four short double-helical elements and three loops (D, anti-codon, and T loops). The record is from RNAcentral. Lineage: Bacteria; Bacillati; Mycoplasmatota; Mollicutes; Acholeplasmatales; Acholeplasmataceae.